GGGAGGUCAGGCCAAAGCUGCAACGUCCUCGGAGCUGCCCAGGAGCCUGAGACUGGGACACUGAGCCCCAGGUAGUUUUGAACAGCCCAGGUUGUGCAGUCAGGGGUCAGUCAGGUCUGGGAGAGGUUUGCCGUCCUGCGUUGAUGUCCCGCGGGUCGGGACAGUUGGCGCCCAACGUAGUUGAUUGGAACCUUUGCCAGAGAAGCGAACGCCGCCCUCCGGGGAAGACUUGGCCAAGCGGGAUUCGGGAUUGCCUCGGUAAACGCGACCGGGAGUCAGAUCCAGGAGGAGAGUGAGGCCGGCGCAAGAUGCAGCCGACAAUCUAUGCGAAAAAUCCCCUGA
This is a long non-coding RNA of Sciurus carolinensis (gray squirrel), 342 nucleotides long. RefSeq lists it as uncharacterized. Lineage: Eukaryota; Metazoa; Chordata; Mammalia; Rodentia; Sciuridae. The record is from RefSeq and is a predicted model, not a curated record. The transcript has 3 exons.